CACGGGUGAGUAACACGUAUCCAACCUGCCGUCUACUCUUGACAGCCUUCUGAAAGGAAGAUUAAUACAAGAUGGCAUCAUGAGUCCGCAUGUUCACAUGAUUAAAGGUAUUCCGGUAGACGAUGGGGAUGCGUUCCAUUAGCAGUGGCGGGGUAACGGCCCACCAAGCACGAUGGAUAGGGGUUCUGAGAGGAAGGUCCCCCACAUUGGAACUGAGACACGGUCCAA
This 228-nucleotide ribosomal RNA is filed under the name uncultured bacterium. Its description in RNAcentral is "partial 16S ribosomal RNA". It matches the Rfam family "Bacterial small subunit ribosomal RNA", at positions 102 to 334 of the family's 1533-position model. The record is from RNAcentral.